Molecule: ribosomal RNA, 253 nt
Filed under: uncultured bacterium
Lineage: Bacteria
Description: partial 16S ribosomal RNA
Rfam family: Bacterial small subunit ribosomal RNA
Source: RNAcentral
UACAGAGAGUGCAAGCGUUAAUCGGAAUAACUGGGCGUAAAGGGCGCGUAGGUGGUGAUUUAAGUGAGUUGUGAAAUACCCGUGCUCAACAUGGGGGAGCCAACUCAAACUGAGUGACUAGAGAACAGUAGAGGGAGGUGGAAUUUCCGGAGUAGCGGUGAAAUGCGUAGAGACCGGAAGGAACACUAGAGGCGAAGGCGGCCUCCUGGGCUGUAUCUGACACUGAGGCGCGAAAGCGUGGGGAGCGAACAGG